Molecule: small nucleolar RNA, 106 nt
Organism: Callithrix jacchus (white-tufted-ear marmoset)
Lineage: Eukaryota; Metazoa; Chordata; Mammalia; Primates; Cebidae
Source: Ensembl
ACUCUCUGUGGUAGUUCAGAAGCAUGACGACUGGGUUUUCACGUUCCUCUGUAGGACGAGCCUCCCUCAGACCUUGUUACGAUGUCAGCACAUUACCCGUGUGACG